CAAUAGCGUAUAUUAAAGUUGUUGCAGUUAAAAAGCUCGUAGUUGGAUUUCUGGUAGGAGUGACCGUUCCGAACUUGAUUGUUCGUGUAUUGUGUUUUCUCCAGCCAUCCUUGUGGAGAACUUUUCUUGCAUUAAUUUGUAGGGAUUGGGACCCGCAUCGUUUACUGUGAAAAAAUUAGAGUGUUUAAAGCAGGCAAUCGCUUGAAUACAUUAGCAUGGAAUAAUAAGAUAGGACUUUGGUACUAUUUUGUUGGUUUGCAUACCAAAUUAAUGAUCAACAGGAACAGUUUGAGGAUAUUCGUAUGAACAUGUCAGAGGUGAAAUUCUUGGAUCUUGAUCAGACGAACUACUGCGAAAGCAUUUAUCAAGGAUGUUUUCAUUAA
This 383-nucleotide ribosomal RNA is filed under the name uncultured eukaryote. RNAcentral's name for it is "partial 18S ribosomal RNA". It matches the Rfam family "Eukaryotic small subunit ribosomal RNA", at positions 592 to 976 of the family's 1831-position model. The record is from RNAcentral.